AUUGAACGCUGGCGGCAGGCCUAACACAUGCAAGUCGAGCGAGCGGCGGACGGGGGUGUGAUUUAUGCGGGUCUGCCCGCUAGAGCGGGAUAACUACCGGAUACGGUAGCUCAUACAGCAUACUCUCUGAUUAACCCAUAUGGGAUUCGUUAGUAGGUGAGGUAAUGGCUCACCAAGGCGACGAUCUCUAGCUGGUCUGAGAGGAUGAGCAGCCACACGGGGACUGAGACACGGUCCAGACUCCUACGGGAGGCAGCAGUGGGGAAUAUUGCACAAUGGGCGCAAGCCUGAUGCAGCCAUGCCGCGUGUAGGAAGAAGGCCUUCGGGUUGUAAAGUACUUUCAGUCGGGAGGCGUUACCGGCAGAAGAAGCACCGGCUAACUCCGUGCCAGCAGCCGCGGUAAUUC
Molecule: ribosomal RNA, 406 nt
Filed under: uncultured bacterium
Lineage: Bacteria
Description: partial 16S ribosomal RNA
Rfam family: Bacterial small subunit ribosomal RNA
Source: RNAcentral